CACAUUUAUCUCUCCCACAGACCAAACAAACAAUUCCACAGUAAAGGAAAAACUCUUCCUUUCUCUUGUUUCAUCCCCCAUUUUACAGUACCUCACCCAUCUCUGUAAUUUCUCAGUCAUGGCUAUCACAUAAGAAAAAAAAAGAAUUUCUUUCUUCUCUUUUCCUUAUCUUCAACAAAUUUCACUAUCUUUGCACCCCUUUGUUUCUUCUCUGUUCAAUUUUCCAAAUACACCAAUCUGGUUAGACACUUGAUUUUCACCUGAAAAAGAAAAAAAAUGAAUAUUACACAAGUAACUCUUUCAAAUAACUCAAAUAACUCUAGAAGGGAAAUCUUUGACCCGGAAUUAUGGAAACUUAGAGCGGCAAAUCGGAGAGUGGUUGAAGAAUAUGAGAUGUUGCUUCUCCCUUCUGGUGGUUUGAAGGCACAAGAAAUUUUACAAACAGUCAAUGCUUUUGGGUGGAGGUCUUUUGUUCAGUGCCCGGGGGAUUACAAUCGAAACAUAGUUCUGGAAUUCUACAGCAAUCUUAAUCCAGUAAGUCGUACUUCAACCGUGAGGUAAAAUUAUUCGCUUUGAUGCUGAAUUUAUAAACGAUAUUUUUAACUUGAGAAACACUGAUGAUAGCGAGACCAAGAAAUUUAUGGAUGAUCGGGAUGUAGAUUUUGUAAGACAUGUGUUAGGCGAGUUGUGUCCUAAUGGUGUUAAAGUUUACUCGGGAACUGCUGAACGCCCUUUGAAUAUUAACUGUUCAUGUAUGCUUGAAUUAGCAAGAGCCUGGGGUAGAUUCGUUAGUUCUCGCUUAAUCCCGUAUUUGAAUACCUCGAACUACAAUAUAGAAAAAGUUCUUUUGAUAUAUGCGAUUAUGCAUGAAUUGCCUGUGAAUGUGGGGAGAUUGAUUAGCAAUGCUAUGGUUAGUUGUCGGAUCAAGUCUGAUUGUGAAUGCUUGUAUUUUCCUUCAACUAUCACUCGUUUGGCCUCCUUAUUUGAUGUGGAUUUGAGUGGUUUACAGAAGACUGAAAAUUCCUACUUCAUCGGUAGAACUUUCUCCAUAAUUUGAGACCUCCUACUGGUCCAACUCAAGUUGAACAGGAACAAAUGCUUGUUGAUAGUGGAAACGAAGCGGAAAAUGAGCCUGAACAACCUCUUAAUUCAGAAAUUGGAACCACGCCUACCAUCCUCGUUCCUGAUAUUCUGGUGGUGGUUGCCUUAAUGUUACAGGUGCAAAUCUCUAUCAGGGAACACAUGUAUUUGUACCAACACCAUUUCCCACAACAACGAUGGAUAUAAACAGGGGAAGUGGAACUACAGCAAGUCCGAUGACAUUUAGCAGUCAGCCCCUUUCUGUUUUCUCUAAACUGGAAGCUAACCAUGGAGUUGCUACAACUGGAGGUUCGUCAGUUCCUAUUCAACAAGAAAAUGGUUUUGAUGUCAAUACAUACCUUGAUCUCUUUCAAGGUAAUGGUCAUGAAAAUUAAGAACGGAACAACAAAUUGUUCAUUCAAGAGAAUGAACAGUUUAGGUGUGGGAGAUGGUAAUUUUCUGGCUACCUUUUCUCUAUAAUAAUUUUGGAGUUGUUGACUAGCUUCUCUCUACUGGUUUGGAAAAACCUGUUGGUGGAUGUUUGUGUUUUUGUUCACUGGAAGAAGAAGAAAGUUUUCUUUCUUUUUCAACAAAACCUUAAAAAAAAACUUUCUUCUUUAAUGAUUUUUGCUGGAUGACAGAAUGGAGCGCUUUGGCAUGCUGAUAAGUGCAGUUUUUGUGUAUGUAAAUAGGCCAUGAAAUGGCAGAUCUAAGGUUGAUUGUUUGGUGCUAUAACAACUGGUACUAAAUUUUUGUUGUACUAGUCAUGAGAUUAACCUGUUGAUUUAUGUUUUCAUGUUAGUAUGAAGAAGAAGGUUGCAACAUGUAACAUCAUUUUGAUAGCUAUGGUAAUAGCUUGUACAUAGUCUAACCUGUUAGUUGCAAUGAAACCCUGAAUGUAUGCUU
This is a long non-coding RNA of Nicotiana tabacum (common tobacco), 1986 nucleotides long. RefSeq lists it as uncharacterized. Lineage: Eukaryota; Viridiplantae; Streptophyta; Magnoliopsida; Solanales; Solanaceae. The record is from RefSeq and is a predicted model, not a curated record.